This 467-nucleotide ribosomal RNA is filed under the name uncultured bacterium. RNAcentral describes it as "partial 16S ribosomal RNA". It matches the Rfam family "Bacterial small subunit ribosomal RNA", at positions 28 to 507 of the family's 1533-position model. The record is from RNAcentral.
GACGAACGCUGGCGGCGUGCUUAACACAUGCAAGUCGAACGGAAAGGCUCCAGCUUGCUGGCGUACUCGAGUGGCGAACGGGUGAGUAACACGUGGGUAAUCUGCCCUGCACUCUGGGAUAAGCCUGGGAAACUGGGUCUAAUACUGGAUAUGACCUUUCUCCUUAUGGGGUUUGGUGGAAAGUUUUUCGGUGUAGGAUGAGCCCGCGGCCUAUCAGCUUGUUGGUGGGGUGAUGGCCUACCAAGGCGACGACGGGUAGCCGGCCUGAGAGGGUGAUCGGCCACAUUGGGACUGAGAUACGGCCCAGACUCCUACGGGAGGCAGCAGUGGGGAAUAUUGCACAAUGGGCGGAAGCCUGAUGCAGCGACGCCGCGUGAGGGAUGACGGCCUUCGGGUUGUAAACCUCUUUCAGCAGGGACGAAGCGUAAGUGACGGUACCUGCAGAAGAAGCACCGGCUAACUAGGUG